This 991-nucleotide ribosomal RNA is filed under the name Lactiplantibacillus plantarum. Its description in RNAcentral is "bacterial SSU rRNA". It matches the Rfam family "Bacterial small subunit ribosomal RNA", at positions 507 to 1497 of the family's 1533-position model. The record is from RNAcentral. Lineage: Bacteria; Bacillati; Bacillota; Bacilli; Lactobacillales; Lactobacillaceae.
UCCAGCAGCCGCGGUAAUACGUAGGUGGCAAGCGUUGUCCGGAUUUAUUGGGCGUAAAGCGAGCGCAGGCGGUUUUUUAAGUCUGAUGUGAAAGCCUUCGGCUCAACCGAAGAAGUGCAUCGGAAACUGGGAAACUUGAGUGCAGAAGAGGACAGUGGAACUCCAUGUGUAGCGGUGAAAUGCGUAGAUAUAUGGAAGAACACCAGUGGCGAAGGCGGCUGUCUGGUCUGUAACUGACGCUGAGGCUCGAAAGUAUGGGUAGCAAACAGGAUUAGAUACCCUGGUAGUCCAUACCGUAAACGAUGAAUGCUAAGUGUUGGAGGGUUUCCGCCCUUCAGUGCUGCAGCUAACGCAUUAAGCAUUCCGCCUGGGGAGUACGGCCGCAAGGCUGAAACUCAAAGGAAUUGACGGGGGCCCGCACAAGCGGUGGAGCAUGUGGUUUAAUUCGAAGCUACGCGAAGAACCUUACCAGGUCUUGACAUACUAUGCAAAUCUAAGAGAUUAGACGUUCCCUUCGGGGACAUGGAUACAGGUGGUGCAUGGUUGUCGUCAGCUCGUGUCGUGAGAUGUUGGGUUAAGUCCCGCAACGAGCGCAACCCUUAUUAUCAGUUGCCAGCAUUAAGUUGGGCACUCUGGUGAGACUGCCGGUGACAAACCGGAGGAAGGUGGGGAUGACGUCAAAUCAUCAUGCCCCUUAUGACCUGGGCUACACACGUGCUACAAUGGAUGGUACAACGAGUUGCGAACUCGCGAGAGUAAGCUAAUCUCUUAAAGCCAUUCUCAGUUCGGAUUGUAGGCUGCAACUCGCCUACAUGAAGUCGGAAUCGCUAGUAAUCGCGGAUCAGCAUGCCGCGGUGAAUACGUUCCCGGGCCUUGUACACACCGCCCGUCACACCAUGAGAGUUUGUAACACCCAAAGUCGGUGGGGUAACCUUUUAGGAACCAGCCGCCUAAGGUGGGACAGAUGAUUAGGGUGAAGUCGUAACAAGGU